Molecule: long non-coding RNA, 1223 nt
Filed under: Pectinophora gossypiella (pink bollworm)
Lineage: Eukaryota; Metazoa; Arthropoda; Insecta; Lepidoptera; Gelechiidae
Description: uncharacterized LOC126369300
Source: RNAcentral
CCGUUUCUUUCAGCCUCCGGAUUAGUUACAGGGGACCCGUUUUAUAGCUUUUUUGUGUAGUAUUGGACACAGCGCCAUCUCGCGUUGUUCAGUGGAAGGUCCGGGACCAUCGACUUGCUAUCGUUGGGCUCCGCAGUCGACGACUUUCCACCAGUAACCGGAGGAUGGUGUGUGCCGAUAUUAUACGGAAGGCUAUAUCUUGGAGUCCCUUGUCAAGUAGCUGCUGAAGAAUGUUGGUGUCAAUAUUUAAUACACAUCGGGAAUUUUCAGUCAGUCUCCUGUCCUUGGAUUUGUUAAUAAGUUGCAUUUUGGGUGUGCGACGGCGGCGUCAUCUAACGGACGAUUGAGGUUGUACUGGCUUUGUCCGUGACGUAGGCGUUGAAUUGGGCGAUUUAUAUAGUCCUGCGCCUGCGAGCUGCCGCAUUCCCCAGACAGCGCUCCGCCGAGCGGGUGUGUCCACACCUUCAAUUUUUAGUGUGAAUUUCGGGCGGUUUAUAAGCGUGUGACCGGUGGCCCGCAACUCCGUCGCACGCGCCGCCAAAUCUUCGUAAAUUUUUAUUCUGGUAAGUAAGUUAUACAUUUCUGUCAUCUGUCGUGACUCGUGAGUGUUAGUGUUUGCGGUCAGGAUUCUAAUGUGCGAUUUGUUCCGAAUAGGUGUGGUUUUGGUGUCCGUGGCGUGGACACGUUGCUCCGCCAUUUUGUCCCAGCGUCGUGGCAUCGACGUCAUCGUACGUUGGCCGCAUACGUGGCUUCUCGACCUCCGACAGGUGAGUCUUUUUAUACGAUUUUGGGGAGUUAGUUGGGUUGUGCCUCCGCCCCUAGAGGUUUAAUUUACCCCUGUGUGUUUUGUCCACAGGAGGUGUUUUGGGAUGGCUGUUUUGUGAUGGCUGUUUUGAGACGUCUGUUUUGAGACGUCUGUUUUGAGACGUCUGUUUUACGAAGGCUGUUCUGUUCUAUGACGGGUGUUUUGUACAGCUGUUCUGCUACAGCUACAGCUUAUUGGUAGCUGCUCCUAGUCGGCUCGGCUUCCUUCCCGCCGCCGAGGGCAAACGAGCUAGGGAGGUUUUUAUAAUACCUUUCUUAUUUUUUUAAUAAUGCUUAACGAAUGACCAGUGGCCUUGAAUACCUGGAAUGUACCCUUAGGAUUUAAAAGUUCCAAAUACCUAUUUAUAUUUUUGUGUAACUUUGGUUUUCUUAGUGAUUAAUAAAUUCGAGUAAACCCA